This 608-nucleotide ribosomal RNA is filed under the name uncultured fungus. RNAcentral's name for it is "eukaryotic LSU rRNA". The stretch from base 234 to 387 matches the Rfam family "5.8S ribosomal RNA". Lineage: Eukaryota; Fungi. The record is from RNAcentral.
CUUGGUCAUUUAGAGGAAGUAAAAGUCGUAACAAGGUCUCCGUAGGUGAACCUGCGGAGGGAUCAUUACACAAAUAUGAAGGCGGGCUGGAACCUCUCGGGGUUACAGCCUUGCUGAAUUAUUCACCCUUGUCUUUUGCGUACUUCUUGUUUCCUUGGUGGGUUCGCCCACCACUAGGACAAACAUAAACCUUUUGUAAUUGCAAUCAGCGUCAGUAACAAACUAAUAAUUACAACUUUCAACAACGGAUCUCUUGGUUCUGGCAUCGAUGAAGAACGCAGCGAAAUGCGAUAAGUAGUGUGAAUUGCAGAAUUCAGUGAAUCAUCGAAUCUUUGAACGCACAUUGCGCCCUUUGGUAUUCCAAAGGGCAUGCCUGUUCGAGCGUCAUUUGUACCCUCAAGCUUUGCUUGGUGUUGGGCGUCUUGUCUCUAGCUUUGCUGGAGACUCGCCUUAAAGUAAUUGGCAGCCGGCCUACUGGUUUCGGAGCGCAGCACAAGUCGCACUCUCUAUCAGCAAAGGUCUAGCAUCCAUUAAGCCUUUUUUUCAACUUUUGACCUCGGAUCAGGUAGGGAUACCCGCUGAACUUAAGCAUAUCAAUAAGCGGAGGA